UACGUAGGGAGCAAGCGUUGUCCGGAAUCAUUGGGCGUAAAGCGCGCGUAGGUGGCUAUGUAAGUCCGUUGUGAAAGUCAAAGGCUCAACCUUUGAAAGCCGAUGGAUACUGCAUAGCUAGAGUACGGAAGAGGCGAGUGGAAUUCCUGGUGUAGCGGUGGAAUGCGCAGAUAUCAGGAGGAACACCAAUAGCGAAGGCAGCUCGCUGGGACGUUACCGACACUGAGGCGCGAAAGCGUGGGGAGCGAACAGG
Molecule: ribosomal RNA, 253 nt
Filed under: uncultured bacterium
Lineage: Bacteria
Description: partial 16S ribosomal RNA
Rfam family: Bacterial small subunit ribosomal RNA
Source: RNAcentral